AUGGAGUUUUACCUCAACACUCUGAUAGACCAGCAGUGCCUUCUGCAUGGGCUGCUGAUGCAGCAGUUGGCAUGGACAUGGGAGAAAAGAUUCAGAGGAUGGAAACUACAAACACUGGGACAUGAAAAAAAUACCACUAAAGCAGCUGAACAUGCUGACGGCAACCUCAAAAUGACUUUUUUGCCAGUUUUUGCUAAAUUACACAUCUUUCCAAAGACAUCCUACAUCAAUCAGCAUUCAGAUUCAACAAGUGCUUCCCAAGACUAAUAUGGGCCAAGACAACUGUCAGGCAUGCUCAUGUAUUUAGCACAUGUAACUCCCACUACAAACCUUUGGAGUAGGCUUGAUUCCCACAGUAACCCAGCUGAGAACUGGCUUUGCUUUCUUGCUUUGGAGUCAUAGCAUCUCGUAUAUGCCAAUUGACCUGUAUUAGACAAGGAUUUUGUUUUGCUUUGUUUUUCUUACUGCUUUUUAACCAUAAAACCCAGGCAGACAUAAGCAACGGUUCUCCACCUGGGGUGAUUUGACCCUAUUGUUUACCUCUUUUAUUUUUUUAUUGAAGUACAGUUAAGAUAUUAUAUGAGUUUUAGGUAUACAACAUAUUGAUUCAAUAUUUUUAUAGAUUAUACUUCAUUUAAAGCUAUUAUAGAAUAUUGGCUAUUUUCUCCAUGGCGAUAUGUCUUUGCAGCUCAUUUAUUUUAUAGUUAGUAGUUUGUACUUUUUUUUCACUAGCCACAUCCACAGCAUAUGCAAACUCCUGGGCCAGGGAUUGCAACCUAUACUGCAGCAGUGCUGAAUCCUUUCACCCACUGUGCCAGGCCUGGGGUCAAAUCCAUGUCUCCACAGCUGGAGCCACUGCAGUCAGAUUAUUAACCCAUUUUGCCACAGAGGGAACUCCAGUAGUUUGUAUUUUUAAACCCCUACUCCUAGCUUACCACCCCUCCAUCGCUUCCCUCUCAAUACUGAAUCACCAGUUCAUUCUCUAUAGUUGUGAAUCUGUUUGUAUUUUGCAAUGUUCAUUCAUUGUUUAUUUUUUAUAUUUUUAAGAUAUUGCUUUUAUUUUUUAUUUAAUUAGUUUAUUUUUAUUAUAAUUGAUUUAGAAUGUUCUAUCAAUUUCUGCUGUACAGCAAAGCGACCCAGUCAUACAUAUAUAUAUGUGUGUGUGUGUGUGUGUACACAUUCUUUUUCUCAUUCUUUUUAUCCUUGAGAAUAUGAUAUAAACUGAUUAGAACCAAGUAGGCCCAAGAUGGCAGAUCUAGUUCAGUGGAAUCCUAGAUCAAUGGAAGAGGAUAGAAAGCCCAGAAAUAAACCACAUAUUUAUGGUCA
This 1326-nucleotide long non-coding RNA is filed under the name Sus scrofa (pig). RNAcentral describes it as "lncRNA (ENSSSCG00070006853.1)". The record is from RNAcentral. Lineage: Eukaryota; Metazoa; Chordata; Mammalia; Artiodactyla; Suidae.